UGAGCUAAAGUCAACUCCAGAGUUUUAAAAACAGAUCUACCUACUAAAGUGACAUUAUAUUCAAAUAAGAUGUGCUUGUAUAUAUAAAAAGAUAAUGUUUACGAAUUCAACUAUGUACAUUGACUGUUAUGCAUAAAUCAUGACAAGAUGCAACUUCAUGACAAAUAUGAACAGCUACAUUACCUGAAUAUGCAGAUGUAAAUUUGUUAUUCUCUCACAAAAUUCUUAGGCACCGAGUUACGCGAAUUACCAGAAUAAGCAAUUAUAAACUAACACGUAGGGUACUUCUAUCACCAAACCUGAUAAACAAAUCAAAAACGAGAGAUUAUAUGAUUCUUGCUGACCAUAAAACUACUGUACAUUCCUUUAGGAGUUUGCUUCUUUAAAUCGUCGUAUGAACACACAUAUCAGCAUCAUGGUUAUCAGAAUACCCAAAUAACCAUAUACUUUCAAUUCCACAAUGUAAAACACCAGCAAUAGUCCAUGUCUAAAAAGUGAAUAUAAAAAUAAAGAUAUGAGGGUAGUUAACA
RNAcentral lists this long non-coding RNA (530 nucleotides) under Helianthus annuus (common sunflower). RNAcentral's name for it is "hypothetical non coding rna". Lineage: Eukaryota; Viridiplantae; Streptophyta; Magnoliopsida; Asterales; Asteraceae. The record is from RNAcentral.